This 29-nucleotide non-coding RNA is filed under the name Homo sapiens (human). The record is from RNAcentral. Lineage: Eukaryota; Metazoa; Chordata; Mammalia; Primates; Hominidae.
UGAAUGGUGUCUGACCACUGGCUCCCGGA